UAGCUCAGUUGGUAGAGCAUCUGACUUUUAAUCAGAGGGUCAGAGGUUCGAAUCCUCUAUGGCUCACCA
RNAcentral lists this transfer RNA (69 nucleotides) under Enterococcus faecium. RNAcentral's name for it is "tRNA-Lys". It matches the Rfam family "tRNA". Rfam says of the family: Transfer RNA (tRNA) molecules are approximately 80 nucleotides in length. Their secondary structure includes four short double-helical elements and three loops (D, anti-codon, and T loops). RNAcentral also lists the same sequence under 2 other names. The record is from RNAcentral. Lineage: Bacteria; Bacillati; Bacillota; Bacilli; Lactobacillales; Enterococcaceae.